Rhea pennata is the source of this 332-nucleotide long non-coding RNA. RefSeq lists it as uncharacterized. The transcript is spliced from 3 exons. Lineage: Eukaryota; Metazoa; Chordata; Aves; Rheiformes; Rheidae. The record is from RefSeq and is a predicted model, not a curated record.
GAGAGAGAGAGAGAGAAGCGGAGGCUGGGGGCUGGUGGACUCAUCAAGCUUCCAUCUAUGAUGCAUCUCGCUGCUCUCCACGGCUCCAAAGGUCAGCUGAGAAAACAAUCUCUUUCUGGCUCCUCCAGCCGACGUAAAAUACAUCAAGACGCUCAGGCAUAAGGAAAAAAGGCAAAACCACUACAUUUAAUGCUAGGAGCCACUGCUACUGCUCUUCUGCACUUGAGUUCUGGAUUUAUUUAUUCAUUGAAAGAAAGUAUAAAUGCAUCUUGUCUUUUUCACAGUAAGCAUUCUAUCAUUGAAAAAUUCUCCUGUCUGGAAAAAAAAUGACA